AUUUCAGUCUUAAAAACAACAACUACCAAAUUACUAAAAGCUAUAAUCUCUAAAUUUAAAGGAUUUGGCGGUAAUUUAAUCCAUUUAGAGGAACCUGUGUCAUAAACGAUACACCACGCAAAAUCUUACCUAUUUCCUAGUUUGUAUACCGUCAUUAAUAGAUAACUUUUAAAAAAUCAGUUAUCUUAAUAAAAAACAUUUAAUAUAUUAGAUCAAGGUGCAGCCCAUAAAUAGGGAUAUCAUGGGUUACAUUAAAAUUUAUUUAUAACGGAUAUUAAUUUUAAAAAAUUAAUUAAAGGAGGAUUUAAUAGUAAGUUUUAAUUAAUAUGGUAAACUGACAUGAGACCUAAAUUGCGUACAUAUCGCCCGUCGCUUUCACCACCCAAGUGAAAUAAGUCGUAACAUAG
Molecule: ribosomal RNA, 407 nt
Filed under: Spinicallianassa aff. acutirostella NHMW 25368
Lineage: Eukaryota; Metazoa; Arthropoda; Malacostraca; Decapoda; Callianassidae
Description: partial small subunit ribosomal RNA
Source: RNAcentral